CCCAAAUCUGAUCCAGAAGUAGCCUUUUUAACCAGUUAAUGAAACCUACAAUAGGAGAGCUUCAACCUCAGAGGUUGUGAGGUAUCCAAGGAUGGCUUCCACAGAUGUGGGUGAAACGGCAGGAGAGAAAGCUUCUGGAACAUGGCCAUACAGCCCGAAAGACUCACAGCAACCCAGUGAUUCCGGCCAUGAAAGCCUUUGAAAAUAAAAUGAAAUUCUAGUGGCAUUUUUUGCAGUGUCGGUGUAAAAGAACUGGCCUUAAAGGAGCUGUCAUGAGAUGAUAGAAGUAUGCCCCACAUAGGGAGAAGGACAGGUUUCUGAUGGACAGCCAAACCUUCUGGGAAAAAAUCAGAGCUCUGUAAAUCCUGCAAAGGCAUUUUAAUGGGCAGAUAAAAGAGAGAUUGAAGGGGUGAUGGGGAAAAGACAAUCCGAACUGAACUGAACUGACAUAAUCUGUUCAUCGGCAGGAUGACGCAACAUCAGAUGAUGAGUGCUGUAGUCUGGCUGGCAACUGGAAACUGGAAGCAUAGAAAGAAUACAAGAGAGCAGGAAAAUAAUGCAAGGUCUGUGUGUGCAGGGUGUUCACAAGUGGGAUGUUCAGGGAGAUGGAGGCAGGGUAUAAAAAUAAGUUAUUAUUAUUAUAGUCUGACACAGCAAACAAGAUAGAUAUGCUGGAUUUCGUAUCACAAAAUCACAAGUCGAACACUUCCCAAGUGUCUAGGACUGUGUGAUGUAUUUUCGGAUGAUGCGUGCAGAACCCAGUUGGGUGGCCUUUUGCAGUUGGCAGGUCGUAAUUUUGUCAAUGUCUAUUGUUUCCAAAUGCCGGCUGAGAUCUUUUGGCACGGCACCCAAUGUGCCCAUCACCACCGGGACCACCUGCACUGGUUUCUGCCAGAGUCUUUGAAGUUCAAUCUUGAGGUCCUGAUAGCGUCUGAGUUUUUCCUGUUGUUUUUCAUCAAUCCGACUGUCACCUGGGAUGGCGACAUCAAUGAUCCAAACCUUUUUCUUUUCCACAACUGUGAUGUCUGGUGUGUUGUGUUCCAGACUGACAAAGUUCUGGAACACAACACACCAGUCAUCACAGUUGUGGAAAAGAAAAAGGUUUGGAUCAUUGAUGUUGCCAUCCCAGGUGACAGCAAUGUUUUGUUGUGCCAGCUGCCAGCUCUAGUUUGUAGUGCGGUUUUCUUGUACUGAUUUUUUGUCUGCUGUGCUUUGAGGAGUUUCUGAUUUUUGGCUUCAAUCAAAGCAGGUUUGCUUUACAUAUUCUGCCAGGGCAUGUAUUAUUAUUAUUAUUAUUAUUAUUAUUAUUAUUAUUAUUAUUAUUAUUAUUAAGAAAAAACCUUUACGUUUACCUAGAUCCAGCCUGUUUGACAAUGGGACCAAUUGCUUAAAGAGGUAGUGAGAUAUCUUCCUCUGAGCAAUGUUAAAAUGAGACUAGAUAGCAACUUGUUGAGGAAGCUGUAGUCUUAGGAGAGAAGCCCACACUGUAGGAAGAAAGCCUUUCUGAUGGCUAUUGCUGGCCUAGUCUUCCUUAUAUGCAUUGGACUUAUAUUCCAAUGCAUACAACUGCUAAGCUUUAUUUCUUGGAGAGGUGUGCCAUAUCCCAUUAGUGGUUUUUGUUAUAUAUUUCAUAAUGAAUUCAAGAACAUUCCCCAUUGUCUCCUUGUUGGCACGACAGCCUUCUCGAGAUGCAGAGUGAUUAAUGCUUUUGCAUCGGGACAGACACAGUAGGCCUGUUUGUUCCGUAAUUGGUUUACUAUUUGUGGGAGCCGUUUGCAAAGAUUGCAUUUUUGAAAGAAGCAUAAAUUAUACCCAGUCAAAAAGAGACACCAAACUUUGAGUUUACAAUAAAAUGCCCUUAAGUUUUUUUUCUCUCCUCCCCCCCCCCCCCUCUUUUAAUGAAGCAUUUAAUGAGGAGGGGAAGAGUUGUAUAUUUUCUGCCCCAGCAUGCUGCCAACAUUGUUCUUUACACACAAAGCAAUAUACCAUGCAAUUAUAUAAAAAUAAUGCAUAAUUGCUUUGCAUACGGCACUAUCGGAAUCUAUCAGGACCGGCCUCCCCGCUGUGCAAAUAUUACUGCCCUCUCCUUGAACAAAAGAUCCCGCCGAGAUUUUGACUCUCCUCCCCGUCUUAAGUAAAGUCCUCGAAAUCCCCAGAGUGAUUAGAACCCAUGAAAAUCAGACAAGCUUUUAUGGAUUUAUUGCCGUUUUGAUUAUGACUUCCCCUCUCCCUGCGGAGGGAAAAAAAGACAAUAUUUCCUAUAGUCCACAAUGAACAAUACUAUGUUACCCUAGGGAUGGAGAGAAGAAAUACUGUAACGAAUGGCUACACUCCUUUUUCUCAACAGUAACAAUGUUAUAGUAACUGCAAACUUCUACACGUUCAAGGAUGGAGGAAAUAUACAAAGUAUAUGAACAACCCAAAAUUGACAUACCACAAUGAAGAGUGAAUUAUUUUUUUAUCGUGUCAGAAUCAACUUGAGAACAAUGUGUUGUCAAAGGCUUUCAUGGCCGGAAUCACAGGGUUGUUGUGUGUUUUCCGGGCUAUCUGGUCAUGUUCCAGAAGCAUUCUCUCCUGACGUUUCACCCAUAUCUAUGGCAGGCAUCCUCAGAGGUUGCGAGGUACAACUUGAGAACAUACUGCAAGUCGCUUCUAGUGUGAGAGUUUCGUGCAAAAACAC
Long non-coding RNA from Anolis carolinensis (green anole), 2680 nucleotides. The record is from Ensembl. Lineage: Eukaryota; Metazoa; Chordata; Lepidosauria; Squamata; Anolidae.